CAAGGCUUGACAUAUACCGGAAAGCAUUAGAGAUAGUGCCCCCCUUGUGGUCGGUAUACAGGUGGUGCAUGGCUGUCGUCAGCUCGUGUCGUGAGAUGUUGGGUUAAGUCCCGCAACGAGCGCAACCCUUGUCCUGUGUUGCCAGCAUGCCCUUCGGGGUGAUGGAGACUCACAGGAGACCGCCGGGGUCAACUCGGAGGAAGGUGGGGACGACGUCAAGUCAUCAUGCCCCUUAUGUCUUGGGCUGCACACGUGCUACAAUGGCCGGUACAAAGAGCUGCGAUGCCGCGAGGCGGAGCGAAUCUCAAAAAGCCGGUCUCAGUUCGGAUUGGGGUCUGCAACUCGACCCCAUGAAGUCGGAGUUGCUAGUAAUCGCAGAUCAGCAUUGCUGCGGUGAAUACGUAAAGGGGCCU
This 413-nucleotide ribosomal RNA is filed under the name uncultured Actinomycetes bacterium. RNAcentral describes it as "bacterial SSU rRNA". It matches the Rfam family "Bacterial small subunit ribosomal RNA", at positions 975 to 1381 of the family's 1533-position model. Lineage: Bacteria; Bacillati; Actinomycetota; Actinomycetes. The record is from RNAcentral.